RNAcentral lists this ribosomal RNA (1631 nucleotides) under human gut metagenome. Its description in RNAcentral is "bacterial LSU rRNA". It matches the Rfam family "Bacterial large subunit ribosomal RNA", at positions 979 to 2636 of the family's 2925-position model. The record is from RNAcentral.
GGGAGUCAGACUGUACGAGAUAAGUUGGACAGUCAAAAGGGAAAGAGCCCAGACCGCCGGCUAAGGUCCCAAAGUGGGUGUUAAGUGGAAAAGGAUGUGGGAUCUCUAAGACAACCAGGAUGUUGGCUCAGAAGCAGCCAUUCAUUAAAAGAGUGCGUAACAGCUCACUGGUCGAGAGGUCCUGCGCCGAAAAUGUCCGGGGCUGAAACACCACACCGAAGCCGCGGAACCCGUAAGGGUUGGUAGAGGAGCAUUCUUAGGGGAGUGAAGCAUUACCGGAAGGGGAUGUGGACCGCUAAGAAGAGAGAAUGCCGGAAUGAGUAGCGAGAGCAAGGUGAGAAUCCUUGCGGCCGAAUAUCCAAGGUUUCCAGAGUAAAGCUGAUCUGCUCUGGGUAAGUCGGGGCCUAAGGAGAGGCAGAGAUGCGUAUCCGAUGGACAGCAGGUUUAAGAUUCCUGCACCCCUUGUUAUCAGAACUGCGGGGACACGGGAAGGGAAGCAGAGCCGGGAAUGGAAAGCCCGGUGCAAGCGAAGGAGUCGCAGGGUUGGAAAAUCCGCCCUGCAUGAGACGAAGGCGUGAUGCGGAGCGAAAUGAAGUAGUGAAGCUGCGGCCCCUUCCUGUCGAGAAAAGCCGCUAUCGUGUAGCAAGGGCCCGUACCGUAAACCGACACAGGUGGAUGAGGAGAGGAUCCUAAGGCCGGCGGGAGAAGUGUUGUUAAGGAACUCGGCAAAAUGACUCCGUAACUUCGGGAGAAGGAGUGCUGCGCAAGCAGCCGCAGAGAAAUGGCCCAAGCAACUGUUUAGCAAAAACACAGGUCUAUGCGAAACCGAAAGGUGAGGUAUAUGGGCUGACGCCUGCCCGGUGCUGGAAGGUUAAGGGGAGAGCUUAGCGCGAGCGAAGGUUUGAACUUAAGCCCCAGUAAACGGCGGCCGUAACUAUAACGGUCCUAAGGUAGCGAAAUUCCUUGUCGGGUAAGUUCCGACCCGCACGAAAGGCGUAAUGAUUUGGGCACUGUCUCAACAACACACCCGGUGAAAUUGAAAUACCAGUGAAGAUGCUGGUUACCCGCGCCAGGACGGAAAGACCCCAUGGAGCUUUACUCCAGCCUGAUACUGGGAUUCGGUAUUGCAUGUACAGGAUAGGUGGGAGGCUAAGAACUCAUGGCGCCAGCCGUGAGGGAGCCGAUGUUGGGAUACCACCCCUGCAGUACUGGGUUUCUAACCUGCGCCCGUGACCCGGGCGGGGGACAAUGUCAGGCGGGGAGUUUGACUGGGGCGGUCGCCUCCGAAAGGGUAUCGGAGGCGCUCAAAGGUUCCCUCAGAAUGGUUGGAAACCAUUCGAAGAGUGCAAAGGCAGAAGGGAGCUUGACUGCGACACCGACGGGUGGAGCAGGUACGAAAGUAGGACUUAGUGAUCCGGUGGCAUAAAGUGGGAUUGCCAUCGCUCAACGGAUAAAAGCUACCCUGGGGAUAACAGGCUUAUCACUCCCAAGAGUUCACAUCGACGGAGUGGUUUGGCACCUCGAUGUCGGCUCAUCGCAUCCUGGAGCUGGAGCAGGUUCCAAGGGUUGGGCUGUUCGCCCAUUAAAGCGGUACGCGAGCUGGGUUCAGAACGUCGUGAGACAGUUCGGUC